Molecule: long non-coding RNA, 1719 nt
Filed under: Callithrix jacchus (white-tufted-ear marmoset)
Lineage: Eukaryota; Metazoa; Chordata; Mammalia; Primates; Cebidae
Description: lncRNA (ENSCJAG00000073965.1)
Source: RNAcentral
AUAUAAAAAAUGAGGGCCGGGCGCAGUGGCUCAAGCCUGUAAUCCCAGCACUUUGGGAGGUCGAGGUGGGUGGAUAUCGAGGUCAAGAGAUUGAGACCAUCCUGGUCAACAUGGUGAAACCCCGUCUCUACUAAAAAUAUAAAAAAUUAGCUGGGCAUGGUGAUGUGUGCCUGUAAUCCCAGCUACUUGGGAGGCUGAGGCAGGAGAAUUGCCUGAACCCAGGAGGCAGAGGUUGCGGUGAGCCGAGAUCACGCCAUUGCACUCCAGCCUGGGUAACAGGAGCGAAACUCCAUCUCAAAAAAAAAAAAAAGUAUAUAUAUAUAUACACACACGCAUAUAUAUAUAAUGAAAGUUUUAGAAAUACUGAGAAGAAGCCAACAUAAAAGGAAAAGUAAUUCAAGGAAACAUUGUAGGUCGAUUGUGGUGGCUCAUACCUGUAAUUUCAGUAAUUUGGAAGGCCAGGGUGGGAGAAUUACUUGAGGCCAGGUGUUCAAGACCAGCCUACAAUUCUUUUUUUUUUUUUUUUUGCCAGGUAUAUGCCUGUGGUCCCAGCUGAGGCUGAGGCAAGAGGAACACUUGAGCCUGGGAGGUCAAGGCUGCCGUGAGCAGUGAUGGCACCACUGCACUCUAAGCUGAAUGACAAAGUAAAACCCGUCCCCCCACAGACACAAAAAACAUUUUUUAAAGGAGAAAAGGAAACAUUCUACAUGAAAAUGGUGAACGUGGCUGAAGUAUUGGGAAAGUUUAGUCCACUGCAGAUAAGACUUGGAGCAACGUGCAACUAAAUCAGCUCAAAAAGAACAUGAGGAUUUGGAAGAACUGAUUUGAAGAUAUUAGAAGACAUUUCACAAAAGUCCUAGUUUACAUUGUUGCACAGACUUGAGCAAUGCUAAUAAAUUGCCCUGGCUAAAAAGACUGUUUCCUUUCCCUUUCCUCUUUCUUUAUAUGUGGGAAUUUAUAGAUGAAAAAUUUUACUUUGAUGGGAGAGAGUUUCAGAAUUAACCUCUGGGUUGAAAUGCUGUAGCCGGACAUGUCUUCACCACUUUCAGCUUCUUUGUCAACUGGACAUCUUUUUCUUUAAUUUGUGAAAGUCAUGCUAAUUACCACAAGGGUGUAGAAAAAUAGGGCACCAGUAGGUUUGGACCUCACGAAUAUCUUUGUUCAGGACAAAUUAGGUACUAAUAGUUUCCAAGAGAUGCCAGUUCAUCCUCCAUAUUUAUCUCGCCAUUCUUUUUGUUUUUGAGAUGAGGACAGAUUUUUGCACGUUUUGUACAACUAUCAAGUCAUUAAUUAAGAAGAUAGAGACAACCUUCUAGGUAGCAAGAGCAGCCUUAUUCCAUGAACCCAUGAUGCCUGACAACAGAGAUCUUGGCUAAGGUGAAGGCAUUUAAUUUAUAGUGUCUCCACCUUUCUUUCACUCUUCCCAGUGCCUGUUACUGUAAAUGCCCAUUCAAUCUGUGUCACUAUUUAUUUUGUAAUGUGAGCACCUGUGUCUCAACUACUAGACCAAAACAGCCAGCUGAUUUCACAUACCAUUAAAUAGAAAAUAGACAUCAUUGUCUCAAGCUAUAAAUUUUACACACACAUACGCACAUCUUACACUUGAAGGUAUAAGUACUUGUCCAGUUAGAAGGACUAAGAGAGAAAAAAAAUUCAGUAAGAACAAUAUUCAAUUUUUUUUUUUUCAGAAUGCCUCAACUUUAACAUAGAGAUGUGGUA